GCCCUCGCGGGCCCCUCGUCUCACUCUGGAUGCAAUGCGUCCCUCGCGACGCUAGUCUUGGUCUGCUCUUGCGGACCUCGACAAAACCUUUGUAAUCCGAAAUCAUGCCUAUUCGAAACCGAGAGAUAAUACAACCAGUAGCGUUGGAUCCCUUGGCACGUCGUUCGAUGAAGACCGUUGCAAAAUGCGAUAAGUGGUGUGAUAUGCAAGUCCAAAACUUAUACGUGAACCAUCGAAUUGUUGAACGCACUGCAUCGAGCCUUACCCAGGAACGAUACGCCCCAUUGAGCGUCAUUAUGUCUUCGAGACUUGUCGCUUUUCACGAAGCGACCUGUCCGGGUUCGGGAUUCACGACCUUUGGGUCGCGCUUCCUCAGAUACAUUGGCUGCGCCGAUGGCGAACAGUGACCUUGUCAUGAAUGUCGAGGUGUGCCUGUGAGCUUCGAGCGCAAGAUCCGUCGCGAACGUCGACGGAUCAGACGCGUCUCUUUCGAGAUUGCACCUUCCACACAUGACCUCACGGGGGUGGGACGACCCGCUAGACUUAAGCAUAUUAAUCAGCGGAGGAAAAGAAACUAACAAGGAUUCCCCUAGUAACUGCGAGUGAAGAGGGAUUAGCUCAAUGUGUGAAUCGGGUUGGGAUUAACCCCCGUCUCGAGUUGUGCACUAUAGACGCCGGAUCAGCGCUUGAAGGAUCGAGGUGGAUGUCCGAUGAAACUCGGUGCCAUAGAGGGUCAUAGUCCUGUACUUGCCUUGUCAUCCUUUGCGCAUUUGACCGAUGUUCUGCGAGUCGCGUAGUUUUGUAUUGCUGCGCUAAGUGGGAGGUAGAGCCCUUCUAAAGCUAAAUAUGGCGACGUGACCGAUAGCACACAAGUACCGCGAGGGAAAGGUGAAAAGCAACCAUGCAGAAUGGGUUGAAACAGCAGUGAAAGCGCUACUGGGAUAAGGGCUGGGGAUUGCUUGUGUCGCUUGCGCGUGCUUCAGUGCUGUGCUUGUGAACGGCGUGCUUUCGUUCGGAUGGGGAGAACAGGGCCUCGGGAAUUCGGCUGGAUCCGUCCAGUGUUGUAGCCCGGGUGUCAGUGGAGCCC
This 1087-nucleotide ribosomal RNA is filed under the name uncultured Tulasnellaceae. RNAcentral's name for it is "eukaryotic LSU rRNA". The stretch from base 512 to 1087 matches the Rfam family "Eukaryotic large subunit ribosomal RNA", at positions 1 to 503 of the family's 3401-position model. The record is from RNAcentral. Lineage: Eukaryota; Fungi; Basidiomycota; Agaricomycetes; Cantharellales; Tulasnellaceae.